This is a long non-coding RNA of Xenia sp. Carnegie-2017, 774 nucleotides long. RefSeq lists it as uncharacterized. NCBI's taxonomy places the organism in Eukaryota, Metazoa, Cnidaria, Anthozoa, Malacalcyonacea, Xeniidae. The transcript has 2 exons. The record is from RefSeq and is a predicted model, not a curated record.
AUUAUUUCAUUUUUCACGCAUUUUCCAAUUGAACUUUUAUUAUAUUUAAAAGUAGGAUAACGCUUAUUACAGCGACAACUAUGACAACUUGGAGCAAUGCAGGAUGCCCUGAAGUACGGACUACAGGCGUUUCUUGAACAGUUUGAUUCACAUGAAGUAUUGAUAUAAACACACAGAAGAAGAGUUGAUAUUCGUCCACCCAUCAGAACCUAUUUAGAUCGACGAUAUAUGAUGAAGCCAGAUUGCUAAUGUUUCCCUGCAAGUCUAAACUCGUAUAGUCUUAUAAAACUGAAAUUUGAUAAAUGUCCAACAGGGUAAACAUUCAAAUCUUAUGACAUCCAUAUUAAAAUUUCAUAAAAAUAUUUAUUGUUUGUUUCGUUAUUUACUGAAAGCGACCAUGACUUUUUUCUUCACACAUUGUGUACAAAAAAAAGCCAAAAAAUUACCAUUCCUACGCGAAAGCUCGAGUCACUAUGAACACUUGGAGAUGAUUUCGCCUGGAGAGGAAAAUGACGAGGCAUUGUUUAUCUUUAUGGACAAAAGUAUAUCAGUUUGGUAAUUUUUAUUCAAUUGUAUGUACAUUAAUUUAUUUACAAACUUAUUUUAGCAUGUAAAGAUGUAUUUGUGGAGGUAAUCGCAAAAGGGCCAAAAAUUUUUUAGUCUUGUGAAUGAUAAGCAAAAGAGCUAUUCUUUAAUAAAAUAUCAUAAACUGAUUCUUUUACAAAGUAGCUACUAAUAAUUAAAAUGAUAUUGGAGUGACAACGUCACAAUAUA